Symphalangus syndactylus (siamang) is the source of this 550-nucleotide long non-coding RNA. RefSeq lists it as uncharacterized. The record is from RefSeq and is a predicted model, not a curated record. NCBI's taxonomy places the organism in Eukaryota, Metazoa, Chordata, Mammalia, Primates, Hylobatidae.
CCCUCUGUUUGAAGUAGAAGCCAUUUCACAUUAGAUGUUGCCUAUGUUCCAGUGGCAUAUAAAAUCUCACGUUAAACAAGACAUCAUUUUGUUGUACGUCUUUCAUCAUUACAGUUGGGUAAGAAGGUUGGGGAGAUUUUGUCUCUCACCAUCUCUCAGGAAGUUGGAUGUCGACAUAUUAACCCCUCCCCUCUGUUACCAAGGGCGAGAGAUAUUUGGCAGCAAGAAAGAAAUGUGUGAUUGGAAACUUUAGGCACAUUGCAGACAUGGACGGAUGAUUGCCACAGAACAAAAGGAGGCGGGAAGCCAGAGCGGCGUCGCUUUUCCACUGGGGAUAGAAACCCAGACAGUCCUGUGGUGGCUUCUUCUUGGAUCUCUGAAUGAUGGUGAGAUCAACCUCUGGGCCAGCCAAGUAUGGAACUCGGUCCAAAACAACGAACUUCUUUUGCUUCAUGUCAGUUCAGCUUCCUACAAACAAAAUUAAAGCAGCAUUGGGUUAGCAAUUGGAAAUGCAUAUCAAAGAGAAGAAGCUUAACUCAAAACAGAUUUU